This 73-nucleotide transfer RNA is filed under the name Alosa alosa (allis shad). Its description in RNAcentral is "tRNA-Thr". The record is from RNAcentral. Lineage: Eukaryota; Metazoa; Chordata; Actinopteri; Clupeiformes; Clupeidae.
UAAUGGGGCAGCCUACUGGUUAGGGCUUUGGGCUUGUAACCAAAGGGUUGCCGGUUCGAUCCCUGACCAGUAG